Molecule: long non-coding RNA, 1118 nt
Filed under: Capra hircus (goat)
Lineage: Eukaryota; Metazoa; Chordata; Mammalia; Artiodactyla; Bovidae
Description: lncRNA (ENSCHIG00010015074.1)
Source: RNAcentral
ACCGUUGAAGCAAGUUCACAUACCUAUAUGUAUUUGAAGGAGAGGGCAAGUGACUCUACCUGGGGGAAACUCCCUGCUGAACUUUGAAGAAUGUGGAGUUCUCCAAAUUCUGGGUGAUGGUGAAGGACAGGGAAGCCUGGCAUGCUGCAGUCCAUGGGGUUGCUAAGAGUCAGGCACGACUUAACAACUGAACAACAACAACUUCAUGCCAAAGGGUCAACAACAGUGAGAUAUGGAAGCAUGGAGCGCUGGUCCAGCUCAGGAGACUGGGGACAGUAAGGAACAAAAAGAGCUAAAAGUGAAUGGGAGCAACAGCACAUGAGCCUCCAAGAGUAGAUUAAGGCAGUAGCAUGAAGAGCCUCGGAAGUCAGUAUAGAGCAGCACUCUGCCUGGUGGUUGUUGAGCCUACGCCAAGGCAAUUCUGUUAUUCUCCAGUUGAUCAGAAAAGCUACCAUGAAAUUAGAAGAGUUAAAGUCACCAACGUCCCCUUCAGCCUGUAUCCCUUCUUCACCACCCUGAGUUAGAGAAGCACAGUGCUUCCCAAACCUGCCUGAUCUAAGGAACCCCUAAGGGAUCUGUGAAAAUAAAUGCAAAAAGACAAGUUUCAGGACAGUCCGGAACAGAAUCUUUGGGGUAAGGCUUGGGAUCUGUAUUCAAGUGCCCCCAAUGAACAAAUCAGCCAGAUUUGAGAGAAUAAUCGGAUACUGAAUGCAGUAGGAGAGAAUGCUGCUCGGAACAGUGUUGCCACUGAGUUGCUGGAAAGGUGUUGGAAAAUCAUUGACUCUCUGGAAAAUGUGGACAGUGACACGCACAUCCCCAUCCAACAGACAGUGCAGCCUGAGAUAAGCAAGAUAAUAUGUGUGAGGUGCUUUGUGAUCGGCAGAAGGAAAUACAAGGUGACAUUAUUAUCUGUGCCAUCCUCGUCAUCAUGGUCGUCAUCAUCUGGGCCAUCAUCCCUGUUAUCUCUCCAAAUGCAUACAGAUUUUAAUUAGGCCAGCUUGUCCCUCUCCUCGAAGAAAAUGAAGUGUCAUAUCCCUGUUUGUGUAGGAGGGUGGGAGUGAGUUUGGGAAAUGUUUUGUUUAGUUACUGUAUUCUUUUCUUCUCAGACACUGUAUGCA